Molecule: ribosomal RNA, 264 nt
Filed under: uncultured bacterium
Lineage: Bacteria
Description: partial 16S ribosomal RNA
Rfam family: Bacterial small subunit ribosomal RNA
Source: RNAcentral
GUCCACACUGUAAACGAUGAUUACUAGGUGUUGGAGGAUUGACCCCUUCAGUGCCGCAGUUAACACAAUAAGUAAUCCACCUGGGGAGUACGACCGCAAGGUUGAAACUCAAAGGAAUUGACGGGGGCCCGCACAAGCAGUGGAGUAUGUGGUUUAAUUCGAAGCAACGCGAAGAACCUUACCAGGUCUUGACAUCCCGAUGCUCGGUAUAGAGAUAUACUUUUUCUUCGGAAACAUCGGUGACAGGUGGUGCAUGGUUGUCGU